UCCGGUCUGAUAAGCAGACAGUCCCAUAGUUAGUUCGUUUUGUAUCUCUCAUCUGUGUUAGUGCCUUUCCUGUGCCUUUCUCUUUGAGUUUUAUCUCAGGUUCUGAUGUGUCGCUGCGGUUCAGCCUCUAAUGCCAUAUGGCUCAUUAUCAAGGUAUAAACAUGUCAAAUAAAAUGCUCGGUACAGUAAAAUGGUUCAACGCUGAGAAAGGUUUCGGCUUCAUUUCUCCGGAAGACGGCAGCAAAGACGUUUUCGUCCAUUUCUCUGCCAUUCAGGGAACUGACUUCCGUUCACUCGAUGACGGUCAGAAAGUUGAAUUCUCUGUGGAAAACGGCCCUAAAGGUCCGUCAGCUGUUAACGUUACAGGUCUCUGAUUAUUACAGUAAUUAAUGCUAUGAGAUGCCCACAAUGUCAGGGCUCUCAAU
This is a non-coding RNA of Pantoea dispersa, 425 nucleotides long. Lineage: Bacteria; Pseudomonadati; Pseudomonadota; Gammaproteobacteria; Enterobacterales; Erwiniaceae. The record is from Rfam.